This 390-nucleotide long non-coding RNA is filed under the name Sus scrofa (pig). RNAcentral describes it as "lncRNA (ENSSSCG00040063662.1)". The record is from RNAcentral. Lineage: Eukaryota; Metazoa; Chordata; Mammalia; Artiodactyla; Suidae.
AGGAGGGUUAGAAUGUGAGUAAAUGAAGACAGCAAUCUCCUCCCAUACCCAGGUCUCCAGGAGAAUGCGGAAUGUUGUUCUCAUGCUCAAGCUGAAAUUUGUCUCUCCUACUCCUCUACCCAUUUCCUGGAUGAAGAAAGAUACUCUGAAUGGAAAAGGAGGGAAAAAAAGGAAGACAACAUGGCUGAACUAUUUUGAUACAAUCAUGAGUCAAAAAAAAAAAAAAAGGAGAUACAAUGAUGGGUGCUCAAGAUAAGUGUUUUGGGAGAAGAUUCAUAACUAAUAGAUUUUUUUUUCCUACUGAAAUACUGUGAUCAUGGUAUGUGGUGCUGUUCCUUUACCACACAUGUUUUCAAUAAAAUGACAAGAGCAUUUAUUUGGUAAAUGGAC